AUAAUUAAAAUAAAUAAAUAAAUAAAAUAUAACAAAUUAUUUUGGACUUGGGUCUCCCUCAUUCCAAGCCCAUUACCCACGAAAUUAGUCUAUAAAUACUGAAGUUUCAGUAGGGGGAGUUACACUUGGAGUUUACACUGGGAGAUUCACUGGAGAAAGAAGGAAGAGAAGCAAAACACUCUGAGGUUUCCUUGGAACAAAACCUUGAGGAAAAA
Molecule: long non-coding RNA, 215 nt
Filed under: Lathyrus oleraceus (garden pea)
Lineage: Eukaryota; Viridiplantae; Streptophyta; Magnoliopsida; Fabales; Fabaceae
Description: Pisum sativum (pea) long non-coding RNA (PSAT_LNC037905)
Source: RNAcentral